UAACGACUCUCGGCAACGGAUAUCUCGGCUCUCGCAUCGAUGAAGAACGUAGCGAACUGCGAUACUUGGUGUGAAUUGCAGAAUCCCGUGAACCAUCGAGUCUUUGAACGCAAGUUGCGCCCGAAGCUUCGGUUGAGGGCACGUUUGCCUGGGUGUCACACAUGGCGUUGCCCCAACCCCUCGCCCUGAAUUGGGCGGGCGGGACCUGGGUGCGUAUGUUGGCCUCCCGAGAUGACAUUAUCCCGGUUGGCCUAAAAUCGAGCGUCGGAGCGAUUAGCACCACGACAUUCGGUGGUUGAUGAGACCCCAAUGAUCAAUGUCGUGCGUGUCGCUCAUGCGCAUGCUCCACGAAUCUAUCUUUCACCAACGCGACCCCAGGUCAAGCGGGGCUACCCGCUGAGUUUAAGCAUAUCAAUAAGCGGAGGAAAAGAAACUAACAAGGAUUCCCCUAGUAACGGCGAGCGAACCGGGAAGAGCCC
This 479-nucleotide ribosomal RNA is filed under the name Syzygium cumini (Java plum). RNAcentral describes it as "eukaryotic LSU rRNA". The stretch from base 5 to 158 matches the Rfam family "5.8S ribosomal RNA". Lineage: Eukaryota; Viridiplantae; Streptophyta; Magnoliopsida; Myrtales; Myrtaceae. The record is from RNAcentral. RNAcentral also lists the same sequence under 4 other names.